CCGCCUCCCCACGCAGGCGCAGUGUGCUUUCACCUGGUCAGAUAUGUUCAAGCUCAAGCUCAAACUGUAACAAUGGCGGAGACGCAACGGAGCCUAAAAUGGCCGACCAUUGCCCUCGACUAAGAGAAACAAGAUGACUGAUGAAGAAAAGCAGUGUAAAAACAAAGAAUUGGACGAACGAGGAUAAAUAUCGAAGUCAUUUCCGAGGUGGAGGAGCUGCAGGAUUUGUAAGGAGUCAAGAGGAACACAGAGUUAGCUGCUUUUCUGCUGGACAGGACGUGUUGUGGAUGAAGUAAUGGCGGCUGAGCUGCUCUCCCUCCUCGGUUCUGGAUGUUUCUCUCUUCAGUCUAGAAGUUGGGAGUUUGCUGUCCUCCCCCGGGACACCAGAGACCACUGCUUCACUUCAACAAGCUAAGAGCCAGGUUUGGGAAAAGGAAGAAGAAUAGGACAUCUCUGGUUCUGCUGCCCAUGAUGAGUCAGUGUGACAGGAGCGUGACGACAGACCAGUGGACGGCUUUCCUACAGGAUUACACAACAAACUACUAAACAGACUUCCAUAAAACUUGGAUGGAGGAUGGAUCACAGCCCAGAACAGACCGCAUCAACUGUUGGUGUGGAUCUGGAUGAAGGGAUGGAUCCAGCUGCGCCUACGAUCACUCGCCCAUCUCAAGACAACGUCCAGCACUCUGACUACGAAAACUUCUGAAAGAGCGCAGCAGGAACAGUGGAAGAUAAUUGAAUUCUCCUCAGUACGACAGCAUCCACUCGCAGGGAAACUCUGAAUAGUGAUGAACGAGCUAGAUGAGGCAUCAAGGCUAACAGCGGUGUGUGCUCUAAACUAUUUGUUGUUCUACAAAGCUUUUUCAGAUGUGUCAAUAAUGAAAUCGAGGUGACAUCAGCGUGUGACGGAGCAUCUGAAUAUUGUUGAGAUAAUAACACCUGCUCUCAAAGCAGCUGAGAGGAGCACCACUGUGCACGAGGAUUCUGCAGCCGCUGAUGCUGAGAGAAAACUUUUCUGUGAACAAUGGCUCGUAUCCAGGUGGCAUCCAUUACAAUCACAAGUCACUGAGAAAAUCAAGCAGCCCGGAGCAUGCAGAUUUCUCCUCAUGUUGUUUCACUGUUCUAGUCAGUUUUCUGUUUGAAUCCAGAGAUGAAACACACACUGAUCCCUGUCAGAACACACAGUACAGUCAGCGAGAUGAAACCAGAAAACUUUCUCCCGUCGUCUGUUUACUGAGGCCUUAACCACGAGUGAUCCCUCCACCCUCGCCUCCUCCUGCCCCUUUAAAAGCACUCCUGUUUUAUUUAUGGAAAGAAAGAGGAGGCUCAGCAGAAUCGCUGGACUCAACUCUGCUGAAACUGUCCCAUCUUUGCCCCGCGGCGCCCGCCCCCCACCUUCUGCCCUGGCGUUUCCAUCUCUGUCUCCAGGGCUCUGGGAGCUGCCACCGCUCACAAUACAUCAAGACAGCACAGCGUGACAACUGGGUUACCCAAAUCAGAGGUCACUGAUUGCAAUCUUUAAGAGCAACUAGAUGUGUCACUGCCGCAACACCUGACUGAAUCUGAAAUGGAUAUCUGUGCAGCGGCUCUGCCCGGGAUGAUGCGGACAGACCUGAGGCUCAGAGAACAGACCUCUACUGAUAUUCUGGAGUUCAGGAUAAAAUAUUCUCUCUCUGACUGUCACACUGAAGAGCUGAGCAGACUAAAGAAGUUUAACUUCAUGGUUGACCUUGAAAACAGCAGCUGGGAACAUCCUUAAUAUCAAUUUACUAUCUGAUGAGGAUGAUGUAAUAUGAUCCUCAUCAGAAGACGACUCAAAGACUCAUCCUGUCUUUUGUGAUUGUGCCAUGCAGCUGAUACUGUAAGCAGGGGCAGCCUCUGACUUUGACUUUCUCUCAGCUCUUCCUGCUUUCUUGUGCUUUUUGCAGGUAGAGAUGGGUUGUUUUGACAGAGGCAGGACAUUUUAAACAGCAUGUAAAAACAUCCAACAGACAAAUGAGCAGGUCAUUCACUCUGUUGAAUCCUCCUUUCUAGAUUAUGAAUAAACAAAUGAAUGACUUGUGACAACCAGAAGUUGAACCUUUUCUACCCGAAGAAGAAAACAACAGAAGACAUUUGUGUUUACUUCUUCUUGAUUUGAGGUCAUUUUAUAAUAAUUUGUUUUUUGUUCUGGAAUAAAUGAUCAUCAGCUCAUAAUCACAGCUGUGCGAUCAGCUAUACUGACUUAUCAAAUCAGUGAUUACAGAGAAAGAGGACAGCUGUAAAGCAUCUGUGACUUGAUGGAGAUGUGUGUUGACCCUGUUCUGAACGUUGUGUUCAGGGUUUGAGGAAACCAGUGUUGAGGGGAAACUGAACUGUGGCCUUCAGUGUCAUCGAUGCUUAGUGAGUUUUUUAAUGCAGGAACAUCUUCUUGCAUCUCUGGGACCCGCGGCAACAAGAAGUCCAGCUCCGUCUCUCUACAACAGUUUCUUUGGAAACUUUACUUAGUUUGAGGACAGUUUGGUAACUUCCAGCAUGUUUGGUAACAGCUCAAGACAGAUUCUCUCCCUUCAUUCCGUCUCUGUCACCAGUGUUUCCUCUCUGGAUGCAGGUGGAAUUCUCUCCCUCCCAUCUUUCAUCAGGACCCCUGCUCUUCCUCAUGUCUCAGUCUUUGAUGUAUGGCGCUCCACCCCUCCUCGCUCACCUUGAAGGGGAUCAUUAUCAUCCAGGAGACUUUACUCCAACCUCACCACAAGCACCCAACUCAACCCUCCCACUUUCAUCUCCUCCGCUGGGUUCAGACAGAAGCCUCCAGAGUCUCUGAAAAUCCCAGUUAAAGAAACUCUGCCUCUGUGCCACCUGCUACCAGAAACUACAAUACCAGCAAGCUGGACCACUUCCAGUUCAGUGGGCUUUUGUUCUAACUCAUGACUCAUCUUGACUCCUGCAUUGUAUUUACAGCAUGGCGUAGCAAUGUUAUAAGCUGGAGCUCAUAUUGAAUCACUACAGUGCAUGCAUUAUGCAAGAAAGUGGGGCUGUAGAUGGGAACAGAAUUGUAAAUUCCCUUUUAAGGCUUAACUUAUUUAUGAGACAUGCUGUUUUUGUUUUUUAGUCAUUUCAAUAUCCAGAUUUUAUAAUCCGAUUUUAAGCUGCCACCCAGCCAGAUGAGAGUGAGAUGGAAGUAGAAAGCCAGACAGAGAGGAGAGGUGAUAGCAAGGAGGGAGGCUUUGUUCACUUCUCAAAUCUGAUCCCAGUAGAGUUGAUUACACACUGCUUACUCCUUCAGUGGCAGGUCGUGUUGAUGACAUGAUAGAGGACAGCGACCCAGCCGCUGAACACACCUGGGCAGAGACAUCAAAUCAACACCCUGCAGCAGGUCUAUAUUUGGACCAGCAGACAGACCGGGAACAUUGUUUUUCCACAGUUGGACUGUACGCUGACAGACUGGGGAUUCACAGUCGGCAUGGAAACACUUUUCAGAUGUAGAGUUGAGGCAUGAAGUGGAUUUAAAGACUUAAUAUGUCGGACUGAAGCGCAGUGGCAAAAACAAGGGAGUCCAAUAUUUUAAAGCAUAUAACUCUUACAAAAAAAAAUGCAGUCUUGCCAUGAUGCAUUAUCUGGAUAAACUGUGCUGAUGCUCAGAGUUUAAACUAGUCAUGCUGGCUCACAGUGUGGGCAGGUUAGCUAGCCUGAGUCAGUGGACAUGAACUGCUGGGAUAAGCUUCCCGUUUACUGACACCGAACUCUGAUUCACUCUGCCCUCCUCUCUCUGGGCGCUUUGCUUACAUUUCCAUGGAGAAAAAUAUUUGCUGCCUGAAAGAGAGACAUUAUCUUACAUGUUCUAAUGGUUUUACUGUCUUUUGAUUUAGCAAGAUUCAUCCAAGCACACUUUCUGGACAGGCAGGCAGAGCACAGCGAUGACAGAUUCAAGAAAUUCAGAUAUCACACAACUCGACACCUCAGCAUCCACACAUAUGGUUUAUGAUGUCUUGAUGAACCUUUAAUGUGCAGAACUCUACUAUCAUCUGCUGUUUACAUUCACCCAGAGGAGAAUGUGAUUCUUUGCAGCAUGAAGGAGUUACAAACCUUCAUUUUGUUAUGCAAGCCUGUGUUGUGUCAUGACGAAUAAAGAACUGCUAAUUGAAACGUGGCUCCUACUGACGACCAUGCGAUACAUUUGAAAGCUUGAGAAGAAGCAAGAAGUGCACCAUGAGCUGAUUAAAUGUUAUCAGCUCAGGACAGUUUAUCAUUUGGAUCCGUUAAUAACUCUGCCAGCCUGCCGUGUUGGCACAGACAUCCUAGAGAGGAAAUCAGUCCCUCGAGCACUAAUCAGCUGUCCUGCUAACUGUAGGAGACCAGUGACAUUUACAUUUUACCAAAGUAGCUUCUUUGAAAUCAGAAAAAAGUUGCCUUCUUCCAGAGCAGCACAUCAAUGUUAACAUUUACAUUCACGUUCAUGACUUUCCUCAGAGAAGUUCAGCCUUCUGAGAAACGUGAAUACAGUUCCAGUCUGCCAUGAGUCUGUUUGGUCGUCUUUAGGAGUACAAGAACCUAUUCAGCUUUAUGUACCAGCUGGUAUUAUAUUACAGACAUUAAUGCACCCCAACAGUCUCCAACUCAGAGUAUAAAGUGGGUCCUUAUACUGACCAGCAGUAACGCUGAUUACCACGAUGCCUCCUGAGACCUGCUUUUCAUACCACAGUGGGGUCACCACUGGGUUAGAGGACUCUAUUAUCAUCUAUCCAGCCACUCGACCCGUAGCUGGGAACCAUAAAGACUUGAAUUCCCAUAGAUCUGCUGCCCUGGAUAUGGCAUACGCAACAGCCUGUAUUGAUCUGGUCGUAAAACAUUCAGCUUCACAAACAAGGAUGGAAACAAGAGUGUUCUGUCACAACGUUCACCUGCCACGAUUUCAGCCCUAACACAGAUCAUUUUUAGAGUUUUACAACAUCCCAUAAUGAUGUCUGGUUUUGUUCCAGUGAAACUGAACUCCUGCCAAAUACUGAGCAGCAUUCUGCCAUUAUGUGUGCUGUUAAUUUCCUAAUCCGCUCCAAUAGUCUCCUUAUGAAGAUGUAAAAAUAAGAGGCUAAUUUGGGAUUUUCUGACCCUUGUAACCUUGCAAGAUGGAACAUUUCUGCUUUAUGAAAUAUGUAAAAAUAUCCUGACAUAUUUCCAUUUGUCUUGCUCUUUGUUUAAGAUUAUUGUGAUCACCUCGACCAUCAGAACAGAGGCGUAAACAGGUUCAGGUCAGCUGGAUUGUAAAGCAUUUCCUCUGUGUCCUGAACAUGCAUUUUUCUUGCUGAUGGUUUGUCAGGAAUGGGAAUGUUCUCUGAUGUAUGGAGUAAUCUGCCGUAUUGGCAGCCAGCUCAGUCAUUACUGCUUUUGACAGACUCUCAUUCAAACUGAUCGAGCUUUGAGGAAAAAAGUUGCUCGACUAAAAUCGAAGAGGAGCCGUUAUGGGCACUGCACUCUAUGUGCUGACCAUUUAACUGACUUUUCCCAAUCAGGGAUACAGAACGGCCAUUUCAUCAAAACAGAGGAAUUAAAAACUACCAUUUAAAAACUGUCUUCCACUGAACUACUGAACUCCUUAAUAACGAUCAUUUAAAUCAUGUAAUUCCUUAGUUUUUGUCCUCACUGAUGUGUAUAAGGUAUAGUAACAUCAAGAUUGGUUGCAGAUUGCAAACAGUUCUGUCACGUCACCCUCACCCAGAGUGGUUUGUCCCUUCUGGGCUACUGUAGAAACACAUCAGAUUCACUGAAAGAGGACGAGCUUCUGGAGUCAGUUCUUGGCUCCAGGUGAUGAGCCUGCAGAGAAUUAUCACCCACAUCUGCUUAUCAAAGCUUCAUUAUUAAUAUCAACUAAUUGUUUAGCUGAUCAGCCUGCAACUAUCACAGUCGAUGGUCUGAGAGUGUCACUAAAAGCAGGCAGAUGGAGUUGAAAGUAGAGCUGCAGCAAUUAGUUGACUGAUU
This is a long non-coding RNA of Acanthopagrus latus (yellowfin seabream), 5952 nucleotides long. RefSeq lists it as uncharacterized. The transcript is spliced from 5 exons. The record is from RefSeq and is a predicted model, not a curated record. NCBI's taxonomy places the organism in Eukaryota, Metazoa, Chordata, Actinopteri, Spariformes, Sparidae.